AUCGAACGCUGGCGGCAUGCUUUACACAUGCAAGUCGAACGGUAACAGGCCUUCGGGUGCUGACGAGUGGCGAACGGGGGAGUAAUGCAUCGGAACGUACCCAGAGGUGGGGGAUAACGCAGCGAAAGCUGUGCUAAUACCGCAUGUGAUCUGAGGAUGAAAGCGGGGUACCGAGCAGCAAUGUUUGGCCUCGUGCCUUUGGAGUGGCCGAUGUCGGAUUAGCUAGUUGGGGGGGUAAAGGCCAACCAAGGCGACGAUCCGUAGCUGGUCUGAGAGGACGAGCGGGCACACUGGAACUGAGACACGGCCCAGACUACUGCGGGAGGGAGCAGUCGGGAAUUUUGGAGAAUGGGAGCAAGCCUGGUCCAGCAAUGCCGCGUGCGGGCAGAAGGCCUUCGGGUUGUAAACCGGUUUUGGCAGGAACGAAACGGUGUCCGCUAAUACCGGGCGCUAAUGACGGUACCUGCAGAAUAAGCACCGGCUAACUACGUG
RNAcentral lists this ribosomal RNA (492 nucleotides) under uncultured bacterium. RNAcentral describes it as "partial 16S ribosomal RNA". It matches the Rfam family "Bacterial small subunit ribosomal RNA", at positions 29 to 507 of the family's 1533-position model. The record is from RNAcentral.